Long non-coding RNA from Pectinophora gossypiella (pink bollworm), 272 nucleotides. RefSeq lists it as uncharacterized. NCBI's taxonomy places the organism in Eukaryota, Metazoa, Arthropoda, Insecta, Lepidoptera, Gelechiidae. The record is from RefSeq and is a predicted model, not a curated record. The transcript is spliced from 2 exons.
UUAUAUGGGAUAAAUCACACGAACAUUACAGUGAUAAAUUUCGUAAAGCGAAUGAAUGGGUAGCUGUUUGUAAAAAAAUAUUUCAAGAUUACGAGGAGUUUGAGGACCAAAAAAAGAACAAAAUUGGUAACGAGGUUGUGAAAAAAUGGAGAAGCGUGAAGGACAACUUUUUUCGAUACGUAAAAAAAAUAAAAGAAAACAGUUCGUCUGGAUCAGGGGCAAAACAAUUGAAGAAAUAUCAUUAUUACAAUCAGUUGCUGUUUUUGAUGAAA